GAUGAACGCUGGCGGCGUGCCUAAUACAUGCAAGUCGAGCGAACAGACGAGGAGCUUGCUCCUCUGACGUUAGCGGCGGACGGGUGAGUAACACGUGGAUAACCUACCUAUAAGACUGGGAUAACUUCGGGAAACCGGAGCUAAUACCGGAUAAUAUAUUGAACCGCAUGGUUCAAUAGUGAAAGACGGUUUUGCUGUCACUUAUAGAUGGAUCCGCGCCGCAUUAGCUAGUUGGUAAGGUAACGGCUUACCAAGGCAACGAUGCGUAGCCGACCUGAGAGGGUGGUCGGCCACACUGGAACUGGGACACGGUCCAGACUCCUACGGGAGGCAGCAGUAGGGAAUCGUCCGCAAUGGGCGAAAGCCUGACGGAGCAACGCCGCGUGAGUGAUGAAGGUCUUCGGAUCGUAAAACUCUGUUAUUAGGGAAGAACAAAUGUGUAAGUAACUAUGCACGUCUUGACGGUACCUAAUCAGAAAGCCACGGCUAACUACGUG
RNAcentral lists this ribosomal RNA (497 nucleotides) under uncultured bacterium. Its description in RNAcentral is "partial 16S ribosomal RNA". It matches the Rfam family "Bacterial small subunit ribosomal RNA", at positions 28 to 507 of the family's 1533-position model. The record is from RNAcentral.